Molecule: ribosomal RNA, 253 nt
Filed under: uncultured bacterium
Lineage: Bacteria
Description: partial 16S ribosomal RNA
Rfam family: Bacterial small subunit ribosomal RNA
Source: RNAcentral
UACAGAGGGGGCAAGCGUUAUUCGGAAUUAUUGGGCGUAAAGGGCGCGUAGGCGGCCUGGCAAGUGGAAGGUGAAAUCCCUCGGCUUAACCGAGGAACUGCCUCUCAAACUGCUUGGCUUGAGACCGGGAGAGGUGAGUGGAAUUCCCAGUGUAGCGGUGAAAUGCGUAGAUAUUGGGAGGAACACCAGUGGCGAAGGCGGCUCACUGGACCGGUACUGACGCUGAGGCGCGAAAGCCAGGGGAGCAAACAGG